UCAGGCCUCACGUGGCAAGUCAAGGUGAGGAAUGAUUUGUAAGGGAGUAUAGAAAUGGGCCAGACUCCCUGGCAAAUGGAGGUUUUUAAUUUUUGGCACUUCCAGCUGAGCUGGAGUACAAACCGGUAGAAUAAGAAAAAUAAAAUAAUGAUAACAUAAUUUAAAAAUUAACAGCAGCCAUUCUACUACUACUACCACCACCUCUCUGUUCUGUUUUUAUGGACUGUAUGUGGCUAGUGUUGAGCAAUUCUGCCUGCAGGAACCAAUUCCAAACAGCUUCAUGAGGUGAUCAUCACUUCACCAUCCAACCCCAAAAGUUUGAAUUCUCAGGAAUGGCAGGUUUUAAACCCAGUUGUGAUCACCAGAAAAGCUGGACUAUGAUGAUGCCCUGCAAGUUCAGGGCAAGAGAGCAAAAAUCCACCUCGGUCUAAUAAAAGUACGUGGCAAAAAUGA
This is a long non-coding RNA of Vidua macroura (Pin-tailed whydah), 453 nucleotides long. RefSeq lists it as uncharacterized. Lineage: Eukaryota; Metazoa; Chordata; Aves; Passeriformes; Viduidae. The transcript has 2 exons. The record is from RefSeq and is a predicted model, not a curated record.